GCACUUAGCUGUGGCACCAAACGUUAGCCAAGGCGCCGGGCUGGCCUCUCCAACCCAAGUCUCCCCCUGGAGCCAGGGGUGCAUGGUACGUACUCUGAGAGCCUUUUUUUUCUUCUUGUUUUGGGGAUCGAGGAAACCCAGCUGAUAUGGCUGGAGGAGGCCCCAUCUUCAGGAAGAUAUUUGACCAGCUCUUUGGUGUUUGGUCUUAACAGAGACAAGAUUUUGUGAAAACCAUAUGGGGACUUUAACUGUGUCUUCCUACAGGAUUUCACAGGGUUAUUCUCUGAAUUCUUCUAAGGUCUGUAAUUGCAGGAGAAACUAACUCCUCUGCCAGUUGUAGCUCAGAAUGAAGUGAGAGAACAGACAGAGACUCUCAAUUCUAUUAGCGGUCUCUCUCCCAUUGGGGCUGGGCAGCCUCUUGGUUGGAUUUUACCUUGUUCAUAAUUCUGGAGUAAGUCUCAGCACAGGACAAUAAUUUCACUCAACUUAUUUUCCGCACGUAGUUCAAAAUCGUUUCCUCCAGGAAGUCUUUCCUGGCUUACUCUUUCCAUUGGAUUACUUCUUACUACUGUAGCCAUUGUUUAGAAUGUUUAUUGGAUGGAUUUGUAUGUUGCACUGUGCUUUUAAGUCAGUGGGUGGGUGCAUGUGAGUGUAGAAUGUGCACUUCUUGGCUGCUUCUUAGCUUCCAGGGGUUAUUCACACAUAUACACACACACAUAAGCACACACACUAUCCUUGUGUGUGUAUGUUUGUAUAUUGUGUCUAUUUCUGUGCAUAUAUGUAUAUGUAGCUGUGUGUACUGUAUAUUUACAUAUGUUUCAUAUACAAUGAUUUAUUAUGUACCAAACAUUGGACCAAAUGCCUUACAAUACAAUGAAGUAGGUUCUCUUAUUUUCACCUACAUUUUACAUGUAAGAAAACUGCAGUGCAGAGAGAGAAGUAAUUUGUCCAGUGUCACUCAGCCAAGCUAUGGGUGAGGCCAGGCUUUAUCCCUGAUGGUCUGAUCUUGCUCUUGAUACCAGCCUCUGAAAAUUACCCAGAUGUGUCACAUGCCUCAGGGAGGACCCUGUUUUCAACUGAGACCAUUAACGCAUUUAUGGCUAACACAAGGACAUUGAUUGCCUGCCACAUGCAAGAUUGGGUCCAGGUGCUGAAGAAACACAGAUGUGCUGCAUCCUUGACUUUAAGGAGCAUCCCUGGGUUGGAGGGAUUCUCUGCAGGCUGCUGUGGUGGAGGGAAGAUUUGCCCAACUUACUCUUGGCGCUGGACCCCCUGAGCCAUCUUCACACACCCAGGAAGACGGGUCUGAAGAAGCAAGGACUGGCAAGUCUGAUCCCCCACUCUGAUUCUCAUUGCUGAAUGUCUGGGUCUUCCUUGUGUACCUGCUGGGGUGGGAGACUGCUCGCAGCAUACCUGGCCUAUGACAUGCCUAGCUCUCUGGGGUGGAUCUUGGACAGGAAGACUGCUUCUGCCAGAGUAAAGAAUAUGACGGAGCUCCUCAUCCGAUGGAGCCUCUGGGAAGAGGCGAAGAGCCAGCUGGAAGCCUGGUGGGCCUCCGCUGCCAGCAGGACAGAUGCAUCAAGUCAGGUUUAUGGGAGAAGUCUUCCCAGACCACUAUGUCCAAACUUCUGUCCAUCCUGCUAUAACCUCUCCAGUUAGAUGGAUGAAAACCAGACCAGUCAGCCAUGGACCAGAGCUGCAAAGAUAAGAACCCAAAGAAGAAACAAAUGGUGUAGCAUUAAGUAUUUCUUUCCACUUGAGCAGAAAAAUCGGAGACUAAGGGAACUGGAGGAGUGUGGCCUUUGAAUGAGACUUGAGGUGGUGAGACAGCAAGUGAACGUGGGGAUACUUGCUCAGAGCUUUGCUAGAAUACCUCAUGGUUUACUGGACCUAGGACCUUCUUGAUAUAGAAAUGACCAUAAAAAGAAAGCAGACAGAUUCCCAUGAAGAAAAAGUGACCUCUCCUCUGAAUUCCAUGCUUGGAAAAGUACUUAUUUAAAGGAAGGAAAAAAGUCUCCAAAGCAAAACCUGGCUUGUUUAGAUAACUUGGUCUAGGAACAUGGCGGAAGCUGAACCCAAGAACAUGCCUGCACAGUGCAACUUCUGGGUGGGAGUCAGUUGUCUUUUCUGAGUUCCCUGGACCUGAGAGUGUGACACUGAGACCAGGGGUGUGGAGAAAUCUAUCUCAUAUUUAUGACAUGUGGUGGGAUCUUUACUGAGCAUUUCAACCCAUCCUGUAGUAAAGAGUGCUGAAUCAUGGUGGGUCACCCUUCUAGACUAGAGACAGCCUGGGUGGGUUCACUGGAACCAGCCAAAAUGGCCACAGGACCAGCUUGAGUCUCCACUACAAAGGGCAGGUGAGGGGAGCAGGAGGUAGAACGUUCACAGGACAGGACGAUCAGGAGCAGAGAGUUGCUCUAAGAUAUGAGCACCAGAUGGGGAAAUUUAACAGAGUGGACUGUAGAGUCACUUGGAAGGAAAAAUGGAAGAGGAUUUUAUAUUACAGCUGCUGUCAAUGGUUCUAACCUUGUAGAAAUCUAUAGGUAAAAAUAUUGUGAAAUUACAUAUGCCCUUUGUUUUCACUUAGUUUUUAAUUUCGCUUACUCUAAUUACUAGCUUUUCAAUAUAGGUUUAAAAAG
This 2639-nucleotide long non-coding RNA is filed under the name Homo sapiens (human). Its description in RNAcentral is "non-protein coding NGF-AS1:6". The record is from RNAcentral. Lineage: Eukaryota; Metazoa; Chordata; Mammalia; Primates; Hominidae.